CCGGAAUCGCUAGUAAUCGCGGAUCAGAAUGCCGCGGUGAAUACGUUCCCGGGUCUUGUACACACCGCCCGUCACACCAUGGGAGUCGGGAAUGCCCGAAGUCAGUGACCCAACCUUAGGGAGGGAGCUGCCGAAGGCAGGCCUGGUGACUGGGGUGAAGUCGUAACAAGGUACC
Molecule: ribosomal RNA, 175 nt
Filed under: uncultured bacterium
Lineage: Bacteria
Description: partial 16S ribosomal RNA
Rfam family: Bacterial small subunit ribosomal RNA
Source: RNAcentral